GACGGAGGGCGCGAGCGUUGUUCGGAAUUACUGGGCGUAAAGCGCGCGCAGGCGGAAGGGCAAGUCGGACGUGAAAGGCCGGGGCUCAACCCCGGCACGCCGUCCGAAACUGCGCUUCUGGGGACCGGUAGAGGCGGGCGGAAUUCCCGGAGUAGCGGUGGAAUGCGUAGAGAUCGGGAAGAACACCCGUGGCGAAGGCGGCCCGCUGGGCCGGAUCCGACGCUGAGGCGCGAAAGCGUGGGGAGCAAACAGG
This 253-nucleotide unclassified non-coding RNA is filed under the name uncultured Gemmatimonadota bacterium. RNAcentral describes it as "uncultured Gemmatimonadetes bacterium contains 16S-23S intergenic spacer region". It matches the Rfam family "Bacterial small subunit ribosomal RNA", at positions 524 to 776 of the family's 1533-position model. The record is from RNAcentral. Lineage: Bacteria; Pseudomonadati; Gemmatimonadota.